This 692-nucleotide long non-coding RNA is filed under the name Bos indicus x Bos taurus (hybrid cattle). Its description in RNAcentral is "lncRNA (ENSBIXG00000002455.1)". The record is from RNAcentral. Lineage: Eukaryota; Metazoa; Chordata; Mammalia; Artiodactyla; Bovidae.
AGAUCACAACAAGCUUUGGAAAAUUCUUAAAGAGAUGGGGAUACCAGACCACCUGAUCUGCAUCCUGAGAAAUCUGUAUGCAGGUCAAGAAACAACAGUUAGAACUGGACAUGGAACAACAGACUGAUUCCAAUAUGGGAAAAGAGUACAUUAAGGCUGUAUACUGCCACCCUGCUUAUUUAACUUCUGUUCAGACUACAUCAUGUGGAAUGCUGGGUUUGAUGAAGAACAAGCUUCGUCCAACACCAACUGAGUGACUGAACUGAACUGAACUGAAGUUUUAAUGGUUUAGAAACUAUUGAGAGAAUAAUUUUUCAACAGUAUCUAUGUGCUCUGCUCCUGGGACUGACACAGAUGGAGAAAAUCAGAAAAAGCACUGUGUAUGCUUCCAGAUUUAAAUCCUAGCGAGCACAUCACCAAGCAAAAUGUAGUGCUGUAUGAGAUCCAGUCCUCAAAUUUUGCUAGAGGAAUGGAGAGAUGGAAGUCUACAUAGCUGGCUGUUUGCAGCACAGGGAGUAUACCCUAGUUCUUCUGAACUCUAUUUCCUGAGUUGGGCUAGGAAACGCUUCAGUAAACAUCACGACAUGUCAGUGACUUUAUGGAAGACACAUGUAUUCUCUCUCACCAUACAAGUCUUGCCUGGGUUGGCAGGAUCUGCAGGCAGGCUGAUCCAGAAUCUGCAUGGCAAUUGA